UACGGGGGGGGCAAGCGUUGUGCGGAAUUACUGGGCGUAAAGGGCUCGUAGGCGGCCAACUAAGUCAGACGUGAAAUCCCUCGGCUUAACCGGGGAACUGCAUCUGAUACUGGAUGGCUUGAGUUCGGGAGGGGGAUGCGGAAUUCCAGGUGUAGCGGUGAAAUGCGUAGAUAUCUGGAGGAACACCGGUGGCGAAGGCGGCAUCCUGGACCGACACUGACGCUGAGGAGCGAAAGCCGGGGGAGCAAACGGG
Molecule: ribosomal RNA, 253 nt
Filed under: uncultured bacterium
Lineage: Bacteria
Description: partial 16S ribosomal RNA
Rfam family: Bacterial small subunit ribosomal RNA
Source: RNAcentral